CAGCAGUAGCCGCGGGAAUACGGAGGGUGCAAGCGUUAAUCGGAAUUACUGGGCGUAAAGCGCACGCAGGCGGUCUGUCAAGUCAGAUGUGAAAUCCCCGGGCUUAACCUGGGAACUGCAUUUGAUACUGGGAAGCUAGAGUAUGGGAGAGGAUGGUAGAAUUCCAGGUGUAGCGGUGAAAUGCGUAGAGAUCUGGAGGAAUACCGAUGGCGAAGGCAGCCAUCUGGCCUAAUACUGACGCUGAGGUACGAAAGCAUGGGGAGCAAACAGGAUUAGAUACCCCUGUAGUCCCUGUCUCUUAUAA
RNAcentral lists this ribosomal RNA (304 nucleotides) under uncultured bacterium. Its description in RNAcentral is "partial 16S ribosomal RNA". It matches the Rfam family "Bacterial small subunit ribosomal RNA", at positions 506 to 809 of the family's 1533-position model. The record is from RNAcentral.